CCCACCUGCAAUGGACCAUCAUUCCUGAAGCCUGGACAUUCUCAGGGACAGAGCAGUUAGUGCCUGGGGGCACAUGCCACACAGAGGCUCCAGGUCCAGCCAAGGAUGACACUCUGAUCCCUGAAUCAUUCACCGGCUGCCUUCAAUUCCUCUAGCUUAAUGAAAUGUAAUCUAUCAUUGUAAUUGAAUGCUCACUGCUCUGAGCGGUUUCCACUUGCCAAUUACUGCAUGAUCAAAUGAGCCCCAGUUAGAACCAAUUGGGUACAUGUGAAUGGCUUGGUGGGAUGGAUGUUCUUGAAUGUACGAUGUGCUGUCUAUCACAAGUGAUACCACUAACCAUCAGUCACAGCACAUGUUUUGUUAUUUGAUGGAAGUGAUGGGCCUGCACUUUUCUAGCCACAUACUCUUUCCUGUUUUCUUCUUUGCACAAUUGCACAUAGGAUGUCUGGAUGCCAUGGUUAAGGGAGGCGUCUACACCGAGAAAUAUGGAGCAGCUUAGAUGGAUUGGGCAAGCGUUUGGAAGGAUGACUCAGAAGCCAAGGAUGGUUUGAUCCUUGAGUGAGCCCUGUUCAUCUCCCCAGCCUUGGGGAGAUGCUCUCCACAUGCUGUUGCUAAAGGGAAAUGGGGAAAGAGAAUUUGGAAAUUGAGCACAAAACCAUUGCUACUACUGAAAACUUUGGAAUGUUUUAGUGAGAGGCCAGUGAUGGUCAUUAUGUGAAGGGCACAAGGACUGUUGUUUAUGGAAGCUCAAACGCGGAAUUGCUUGUGAUGAAUGUUUCUCACUUGAGUCUCUGUGGAAGCCUUCCUUUGCCUUGUGUUUCUCAGUGUCAGCCAAACUCAUUUCCUGUGUGUCAUCUGUCAGUCAUAACUAGGAUGAGGGAUAGCUGAUGAACUCACUCAGAUUUAAGGUGACAAUGUGGUUGAUACUGACAAGUCAAAUGUGAAUGUUUCAAGGAUUGAUUCUUGUCCCUAUGGGACGUUGAUUAAUGACACUUAACAGGACUCUUGGAAGGCAGCCUUAAAAGUGUUUCUGAAUCUGUUGGAUAAGUGUGAUCACACCCUGUUCCUGGAACCAGUGUGACUCCUCACACACACAUUUACCAUAGAAGAGGAGCCUCUUCUUAUUAGGUGGUUUGUUUUGUUUUUAAGAAAGAUAACCCAAAAGCUGCCAGUUUUUCUAUUCACUUUGAAUUACUAAGAUUGUAUUUAUUUAAUUUUAUUAAUUUUACAAAGUUGCACCUUGUGACCAAAGGGCAAAGACAACGCAUUAGGGAUUUGUGUUUUCCAAGUGUUUUGUGUCCAUCUGUAUGCGUGUGGAAUAGACAGUAGGGGGAGAACCUGUUGGAAAAAGAGGGUUCUCAUAAGUAUUCCUUGGGGUGUUUUUUGUUUUCAUCAUUAAUUAUGAUUUAAAGUAGAACAAAAAUGGCUUCUGGUGAGGCCCAGCUUGACCAGGGUGCUGCAGCCAGCCUGCUUGGUGUGCUUGUUCAUUUUGGAAUGGGGGAGGGGACUAGGACCACAACUGGGAAAAGCAAUGACGUCUGCUCUAUUACAAAGAUAAGAAACGGUCCCACAAAUUAAAAAAAUAAUAAUAAAUGGCUAUUUUUGAAAUUCAAAUAUUUAAAUUUUGUAAAUCAGCUGCUUAGGACACCAUGUGUUUGUAACUUUUUUUUUUCUAUAGUGUCCCUUUAAGCCUCUUCCCAAAGGUUAGUGUCCCUGGUAUGACAAGUGGCGAAACAUCAGAGAAGUAAGCAUCUGAAGGGAUCCAGGAAACUUUGGGGGAAAAGAGGGGCAGAAACCAGUGCCCUGUGGUAUACAACAAAUACCUUUUGUUCCGUCCUCUCCCACCCCUACCAGAUUCCUCAACCAAAACCAGUCCAGAACUUCAGAAACAGGAACAAGUCGUCCCGCUGUUCGGCUGUGCAGCUGUUUGUUUUGCUUAAUGCCCUUCGUCAACACUUUCCGCAAGUGUAGUUGCAGACAAAUGCUUUUUUUCUGUUGUUCGCUCUGUGUGGGGUGUGUAAAUAACCUAAAAUGUACAUUGAAUUUCACAGUGUAAAGUUUUAUUUUAUUCCUUGUAUUAUAUUAUUCAAAACCAUCCCGAUGUACAUGAAGUGCAUAAUAAAUCUAUUUGCUUUACAG
This 2139-nucleotide long non-coding RNA is filed under the name Rattus norvegicus (Norway rat). Its description in RNAcentral is "long non-coding RNA NONRATT016352". The record is from RNAcentral. Lineage: Eukaryota; Metazoa; Chordata; Mammalia; Rodentia; Muridae.